GGUUUAUAUUAUUGUCAGAGAUACAGAUAAAAUCCACAACUGUACAUAAAACUGUCUGCUAUUGCAUAAAUUCCAUAUUUAUAGGAUAAGACUUAUUUAAUCUGUCUUGAAGCACUGCAGGAGAAAUGUACAUUUCAUAAAAAGUGUGUACUUUCUGUGGGUAUGACCUAAUUGAAUGAGACAGUCCAUGUGUUGAAGAAAUCAACAUUCCUUCA
This 215-nucleotide long non-coding RNA is filed under the name Mytilus galloprovincialis (Mediterranean mussel). The record is from RNAcentral. Lineage: Eukaryota; Metazoa; Mollusca; Bivalvia; Mytilida; Mytilidae.